AGUGUGGCCUGCGGCUUGGUAGAGCAUGGUAGAUUAAGAUAGAGGAAGGUAAAGUAAAGUAGUUUAAAGAUAAAGUAAGUUAUAAUGAGGUAGAGCGAGGCAGAGUGAAGUACAGAGAGGUAGAAUGAAGCACAGCGAGUUUGAGAAAACAGUAUGAGGUAAAAUGAGACAGUAAAAGGUAAAGGUACAGUGAGGCUAGAGUGGGGUAGAGCAAGGUAGUGAGAGGUAGAGUAAGGUCAAGUGAGGUAGAGCAAUGUGUAGUAAGGGUAGAGAGGAGUAGAGGGAGGUAAAGUGAGGGAAGAAUGGGGUAGGGCGAGAUAGGUAGAGGUAAAGCAAGGUAGACUAAGGUAAAGUGAAGUGAGGGUGGAGUGGGGUAGAGUGAGGUAGGGAAUGGUAAAGUGAGGUAAAGUAAAGUAAAAUGAGGGUAGAGGAACAAAGAAUGAGAAAAAGUGAGGGUAGAAUGGGGUAGAAUGAAGUAGGAGAGGUAGAGCAAGGUAAAGGGAGUUAGAGUUGGAUAAAGUGAGGGUAGAGUGGGGUAGAGUGAGAUAAAAUGAUGUAGAGCGAGGACAAGCAAGUCAGAGUGAGGGUAAAGCAAGGUAAAGGAAGGUAGAUUGAGCUAAAGUAAAGUACAGGUAGAGGGAGGUAUAGCUGGGCAAAGUGAGGGUGGAAUAUGGAAGAGUGAGUUAGAGUGAUGUAGAGUGAGCUACAGUGAGGUACAAUGAGGUAGAGUAAGGUAGAGUGCGGUAGAGCGAGGAUACAGUGAGAUACAGUGAGGUAGAGUGAGGUAGAGUGAGGGUACAAUGAGGUAGAGUGAGGAUACAGUGAGGUAGAGCGAGGGUACAGUGAGGUACAGUGAGGUACAGUGAGGAUACAGUGAGGUAGAGCGAGGGUACAGUGAGGUACAGUGAGGUAGAGUGAGGGUACAAUGAGGUAGAGUGAGGAUACAGUGAGGUAGAGCGAGGGUACAGUGAGGUACAGAGAGGUACAGUGAGGUAGAGUGAGGAUACAGUGAGGUAGAGCGAGGGUACAGUGAGGUACAGAGAGGUACAGUGAGGUAGAGUGAGGUAGAGUGAGGAUACAAUGAGGUAGAGUGAGGAUACAGUGAGGUAGAGCGAGGGUACAGUGAGGUACAGAGAGGUACAGUGAGGUAGAGUGAGGAUACAGUGAGGUAGAGUGAGGAUACAGUGAGGUAGAGCGAGGGUACAGUGAGGUACAGUGAGGUAGAGUGAGGAUACAGUGAGGUAGAGCGAGGGUACAGUGAGGUACAGUGAGGUAGAGUGAGGUACAGUGAGGGUACAAUGAGGUAGAGUGAGGAUACAGUGAGGUAGAGCGAGGGUACAGUGAGGUACAGAGAGGUACAGUGAGGUAGAGUGAGGAUACAGUGAGGUAGAGCGAGGGUACAGUGAGGUAGAGUGAGGUAGAGUGAGGAUACAAUGAGGUAGAGUGAGGAUACAGUGAGGUAGAGCGAGGGUACAGUGAGGUACAGUGAGGUACAGUGAGGUAGAGCGAGGUAGAGUGAGGUUACAGUGAGGUAGAGUGAGGAUACAGUGAGGAGGAGUGAGGGUACAGUGAGGUAGAGCGAGGAUACAGUGAGGUACAGUGAGGUAGAGUGAGGAUACAGUGAGGUAGAGCGAGGUAGAGUGAGGAUACAGUGAGGUAGAGUGAGGUAGAGCGAGGUAAUGUACACCAGGUGACCUCACAAAAAUGGUAAUGUUUUUAAGUAUUGAAUGACUUAACCAGUUAAACUCUGUAUGUAAGCCCACAUUUCAGUUAUUAAUGCUCAUAACUACACUAUUAUACGCUACUAUAGUUAUUAACAGUUUCUAUGAGCUUCUAUGAACUGCUUGGAUGCUCCUCCCUUAUUGUGACAUCACAAUAAAAAAAACCUGCAUUGAACAAACCUGGCACAAGCCCUUACCCAUCAACCCCCACCAGAGCCCCACCCCCCACUAGUUCACUAGGUUGAAGAAACACUACUUUUUCUAAUAUUGGUUGAGAACCUCAGACAGUACACAGCAAAAUUAGCCAGCAGACUUUGUCUGAGGGAGGGAUCUGUAUUAUGCGUUUUGUGCUUCGAUGACAGUUAAGCAUGAACUAGUUUUUUCUCUCAGUAUACAAAUGGCAUGACCAGUAACAGCCUAUUUGCAUAAAAGUGGCAGAGCCCUUAAACGGCUCAUUAUGAAAGGGACUAAAACUGGUAAAAAUAGAGCUUUUAAGUAAGAGUUCCUAUUCUAAUUUAGUGUUAAUGAAGUUUAAUAUGUCCCCUGUUAAAUAAGGUAAUUCACUGUGGCUGUGAUGUGCAGAUUAUACAAAUUCAUACUGGAUUAAAAUCAGCUAAUCCAGAUCCAGAAUCCAGAGUCUGGUUUAUAUUGUACUGUAGCUGAAAGUACAUUGGGACUGUGAUGUCAGGGGUGAUUUAAAUAUCUCCUACUGUAUAAUAAGAGGAUUUAAGAUUAAUUAGCUCUUUAAAUGGUUGCAUUACAGUCUUUAUAUUAAUAUUAUUAUAAUAAUAAUCCUCUUUAAAUGUGAGUGCGGUCUGAGGAAAGGAAACCCUGCAUGGUUUGGGAAGAAUGUUAAGUGCAUGCUCUGCUGCUGGUAGGCCACUUAUUUCCAGAGGGGUGUUAGGUGUCUCUUAAUCGCUGAAUAGAUGUGUUAGUGUUAGAGUGUGUGUGUGUGUGUGUGUGGUGUUACCAGGCUGCACUGCCACAUUGCUGUAGUGAAACCAGUGCUUCCGUGGACACGCUGUACCCAUUUAGAUCUCCUCAGUCCUGCUUAAAGGUUGAGAAGCUUUUAGUAUUUUCUACAUUUCUGCAUAAAUUUGACCUAGAACUUCUUAGAAAAACAGAUUUUUACACAAAUCAAAAAAAGUACAUGAGAAAAAAACAAAGCAAACUAAUUAAACAAAAAUAUCUUAAUCUUAAUAACAGUGCCACUGUGAUUGGGAGAUCACUUAUUCGAAUCCCAGUCAUGCAGCUUGCCAUCAGCUGCCAGAGCCUCGAGAGAGCACACGAUUGGCCUUGCUCUCUCUCUAUGGGUGGGUACAGUAGGUGGCGCUCUUCUCUUUCCCCUCAUCACUCCUAGGGUGAUGUGGAUCAGCACAAGGCUGCGUCUGUGAGCUGUUGUAUCAGAACCGAGUCACUGCGCUGCCUUAUGUUGUCAGACAGGUUCUAUUUUUUACAGGCAGUAAUCAGGCCUGGUUGUGGUUAGAAGUGAAGUUGAUUCCCAAACUCAGCUUUCCAAAAAGUGUGAUUAAUCACAGUUAAUUAAUGGAGCAAAAAAUAUUUUUUCACACAGGGCUAGAUUGCGCUGGAUAGUUUUUUUUCUCCUAAUAAAUGAAUUCAUUAUUUAAAAAGUGCUUUUUAUAUUUACUCAGGUUAAAAAUGUAAUCAAUCAAUCAAUCAAUCAACCUUUAUUUCCACUCGGUAAAUACAUUGAGGGUAACCCUCAUUUUCAAUUAAAGGGAUUGAAAAUUAAGUUAAAAUUAUUAAAACAAGCAAAAAAUGUAAGAUUUAAUUUAAAAAAUAAAUAAUAAUUUAAAAUAAAAGGAUAUGCAAACAGGCUAAAAUGUAGAGCAAUAAAACAAAGAGAUAAAUACUCUAGAUACAAUAAUAAAAUAUAAACACAGUUAAAGAAAUAAAGGACUAAAAUAAACACAAUUAGAAAAAAGCAAAUGAAGGAACUAAAAUAAAUAAUAAUGAUAAGUAAAAAAAAGAUCAUUAAAAAUAAAAGGAAGAAAUAAAUUAUGUUAAAAGGUAAAAGGCCAAAAGUAAAAGCAGUAACAAAACUAAUAAAAGGUAAAACAUAAAAUUAGAUUAAAAAAAAGAACAAAUAAAAUAAAAUAAACAACAAGGUAAAAGAAAAACUCAACUAAAACAGUUACAGGCUAAUGUAUUUAUAGCUCUGGAAACAAAAUAAAAGACCAAUUCAGUUUCUGAAUCAGUUUCUCUGAUUUUGCUAUUUAUAGGUAUAUGUUUGAGUAAAAUGAACAUUGUUGUUUUAUUCUAUAAACUACUGACAACAUUUCUCCCAAAUUCCAAAUAAAAAUAUUGUCAUUUAGAGCAUUUAUUUACAGAAAAUGAGAAAUGGCUGAAAUAACAAAAAAAAAGAUGCAGAGCUUUCAGACCUCAAAUUAUACAAAGAAAACAAUUUCAUAUUCAUAUUCAAGUUUUAAUGCAUCUUGGCAUGUUCUCCUCCACCAGUCUUACACACUGCUUUUGGAUAACUUUAAAGCAGUUCAGUUUGGUGGUUUGAUGGCUUGUGAUCAUCCAUCUUCCUCUUGAUUAUAUUAUAGAGGUUUUCAGUUUGGUCAAAUCAAAGAAACCCAUCAUUUUAAAGUGGUCAUUUAUUUUUACCAGAGCUGUAUAUAAAUAUAUAUAAAUGAUCUAAGUGCUAAAUUGUAUCACCUAUCAGCCGGUGCCCAGUCUGCCAGUCUGUCAGACGCCAGGCUGUGCCCGCACCUCAGAGACAGAGCGGGCAUUCACAGCUCUACCUGCUGACAUUUCCCUCAGCUAAAUCAGUCCAGCGAGCUCUGCUGCAGGUGCCAGCUGUUAUUGUUACACUGAGAUUCUGCUCUGAGACACACUGAGGUAUCAGAGGAACUCUCCAGGGACCGACAGUGUGUUUAUGUACUCUGAACUGACACUUUAUUAGGUACAUUGUGAAACAGUACACUGACUAGUUUGACCAUGUAUAUACUGAAUACUGAAUGUGAAGAAGCAUUUAGGGCUGGGGUUGAUGAUGCUGCAGUGGGUCUGCAGGUUUAGGUUCAGCAACAGUAUGUGCUGAAAGAAUGAGGUCAGCUGACUACCUGAAUAUACUGAAUAUAGACCAGGUUAUUCCAUCAAUGGAUUUAUUCUUCAUAUUCCAAGAUGACAAUGUCAGGAUUCAUGGGGCUGGAAUUGUGAAAGAGUUCAGGGUUCAGGGAGCAUGAGAUCAUCAUUUAUCAUUUUCACACAUGGAUUGAGAGAGAGUUCACCACAGAGUCCAGACCUUAACCUCAUUGAGAAUCUUUGGGAUGUGCUGGAUGGAGAAGAGCUGCUUUGUGCAGUGGUCAGACUCUACCAUCAUCAAUGCUGCUGCAAGAUCUUAGAGAAAAAUUAAUAAAUCAAUGCAACCCAUGCAAUACAUUACAUGACAUUACAU
Molecule: long non-coding RNA, 5142 nt
Organism: Astyanax mexicanus (Mexican tetra)
Lineage: Eukaryota; Metazoa; Chordata; Actinopteri; Characiformes; Acestrorhamphidae
Exons: 6
Source: RefSeq, a predicted model, not a curated record